RNAcentral lists this long non-coding RNA (356 nucleotides) under Homo sapiens (human). Its description in RNAcentral is "non-protein coding lnc-CEBPZ-1:1". Lineage: Eukaryota; Metazoa; Chordata; Mammalia; Primates; Hominidae. The record is from RNAcentral.
AUGGCUCCUGCAAAGAACAGUGGCAAGAAGAAAAUGGACCAUUCUGCCAUCAACGAGGUGAUGACCCAAGAAUACACCAACAUUCACAAGCACAUCCACAGAGUGGGCUUCAAGAAGCAUGUCCCUCAGGCACUCAAAGAGAUCCGGAAAUUUUGCAAUGAAGGAGAUGGGAACUCCAGAUGUGUGCAUUGAUACCAGGCUCAAUAAAGUUGUCUUUGCCAAAGGAAUAAGGAAUGUCCCGUACCGUAUCCGCGUGCAGCUGUCCAGAGGAUGUAAUGAGGAUGAAGAUUCACCAAAUAAGCUCUGUACUUUGAUUACCUAUGUACCUGUUACCACUUUCAAAAAUCUACAGAUAG